AAAUUGAAGAGUUUGAUCAUGGCUCAGAUUGAACGCUGGCGGCAGGCCUAACACAUGCAAGUCGAACGGUAACAGGAAGUAGCUUGCUGCUUCGCUGACGAGUGGCGGACGGGUGAGUAAUGUCUGGGAAACUGCCUGAUGGAGGGGGAUAACUACUGGAAACGGUGGCUAAUACCGCAUAACGUCGCAAGACCAAAGAGGGGGACCUUCGGGCCUCUUGCCAUCAGAUGUGCCCAGAUGGGAUUAGCUUGUUGGUGAGGUAACGGCUCACCAAGGCGACGAUCCCUAGCUGGUCUGAGAGGAUGACCAGCCACACUGGAACUGAGACACGGUCCAGACUCCUACGGGAGGCAGCAGUGGGGAAUAUUGCACAAUGGGCGCAAGCCUGAUGCAGCCAUGCCGCGUGUAUGAAGAAGGCCUUCGGGUUGUAAAGUACUUUCAGCGGGGAGGAAGGUGUUGUGGUUAAUAACCGCAGCAAUUGACGUUACCC
RNAcentral lists this ribosomal RNA (490 nucleotides) under Salmonella enterica. Its description in RNAcentral is "bacterial SSU rRNA". It matches the Rfam family "Bacterial small subunit ribosomal RNA", at positions 1 to 480 of the family's 1533-position model. Lineage: Bacteria; Pseudomonadati; Pseudomonadota; Gammaproteobacteria; Enterobacterales; Enterobacteriaceae. The record is from RNAcentral.